Molecule: long non-coding RNA, 1355 nt
Filed under: Lactuca sativa (garden lettuce)
Lineage: Eukaryota; Viridiplantae; Streptophyta; Magnoliopsida; Asterales; Asteraceae
Description: long non-coding RNA (LSAT_LNC010358)
Source: RNAcentral
AUGCUUGAAAUAGUAAUUCAACCAUUAAACAUAAUAUUAUCGCACCAAAUAAUAAAUACAAAAGACAACAAUCCUAACAAAAAAUUGAUGUCAUUUGCCAUAUAUGUAUUAUUAUUGAAUGAAAUAUGAAAAGUUGAAAACCUAAAUUACUUAUAGGUAUUCGUAUAAAAAUGCACAUAUAAAUUUGAAAAUUAAUGCAUAUUAAAACACCUUUGACCUAUGUCGAAAUCAUUGUAAUUCCAAAUUAUUGCAAUAUUAAAACAACCAUGUGAAAUCUUAUGUACCAUAAAAAAGUAUCUACGCAAACCAUUAACAAAAAAGUAUUCCUAUGAGCAAUGGCUUUUUCAAAAAAGCAAACUGGAAACCAAAUAAAAAAACGUUGGCGUCAACUAAAUAAAAAUACACACAAGUAAUUGUAUGGAUGAAAAAGAAAUAAAAAAAAAUCGCCUUCAAUCGAGCAAUAGUAGAAAUAGAAGUAGCGUUUGAUCGACAAGAAUUUGACGUGAUUCGAAUGUGAUACCCUAUUGACGCAUAGAAGCGUGAGAUCAAUUCUCCCCCGAGUUAGGAAGACUUACAUCUAGUAAUUGUUGCACCGCUUUCAAAUAACCAGGUUUGAAUCCGUUGUCAGUACCACUAUCCUUUUCGGAUACAUGUAACUCCAACAAUGCUUCAAUCAAUUUUGCAUCUUCUUCACUAGUCCAUGUGUGUUUGUUUUGCCCUAAAAUGCCUACAAAAAAAUUUACAGUAGAUGCAUGAAAUAGUAAUUCAACCAUUAAACAUAAUAUUACCACACCAAAUGAUGAAUACAAAAGACAACAAUCCUAACAAAAAAUUGAUGUCAUUUGCCAUAUAUGUAUUAUUAUUGAAUGAAAUAUGAAAAGUUGAAAACCUAAAUUACUUAUAGGUAUUCGUAUAAAAAUGCACAUAUAAAUUUGAAAAUUAAUGCAUAUUAAAACACCUUUGACCUAUGUCGAAAUCAUUGUAAUUCCAAAUUAUUGCAAUAUUAAAACAACCAUGUGAAAUCUUAUGUACCAUAAAAAAGUAUCUACGCAAACCAUUAACAAAAAAAUAUUCCUAUGAGCAAUGGCUUUUUCAAAAAAGCAAACUAGAAACCAAAUAAAAAAACGUUGGCGUCAACUAAAUAAAAAUACACACGAGUAAUUGUAUGGAUGAAAAAGAAAUAAAAAAAAUCGUCUUCAACCGAGCAAUAGUAGAAAUAGAGGUAGCGUUUGAUCGACAAGAAUUUGACGUGAUUCGAAUAUGAUACCCUAUUGACGCAUAGAAGCGUGAGAUCAAUUCUCCCCCGAGUUAGGAAGACUUACAUCUAGUAAUUGUUGCACCGCUUUCAAAUAACC